UGUAACUGUGCUUUCCUUACCAAGGGUGGGUGUUUAAUCAGGUAUGAGUGGCAUCAGAGCCAAAUGAAUCAUAGAAUCACAGCAUCAUUAGGGUUGGAAGAGACCUCCAAGACCAUCUGGUCCAACCAUCACCCUACUGCCAGUGUUACCCACUAAACCAUGUCCCUAAGCACCACGUCCAACCUUUCCUUGAACACCCCCAGGGACGGUGACUCCACCACCUCCCUGGGCAACCCGUUCCAGUGCCUGACUGCUCUUUCUGAGAAGAAAUGUCUCCUCAUUUCCAACCUAAACAUCCCCUGGCACAACUUGAGGCCAUUCCCCCUAGUCCUAUCACUAUUUACGUGUGAGAAGAGGCUGACCCCUGCUACCCACAACUUCCAUUGUAAAAUGAAAGCACUGCAUGCUUUGCUUGAAGAUGGAGGAAGCCAGCAACAUAGCAGCAGAAGGGACCAAGGAAGGGUGGCGAGGCCCUCACCUUGCUCCCUGCUCUCCUGGCAGAAAGAUCUACCUGAAAAAAAGAGUGCCCUUCGAACAUUAGUUUCCCCAACCCUGAGCAGAGUCCUAUCAUAACCUUGACAUCAGUGGUAGGGAAGAGUUUCUUGUGCAGGCAUCCUGGUGUGACUUGCCAUUGAUUUUUGCUCACCUUGAAGAAGUUGGCUAUUUAUCUGUUUGGUUACUGUUAUUCUUCAGUUUUUGUUCCUUGCUGUGAGCUAACAAGAAGAAACUUGACUGACUGACUGACUUUCCCAAAUAAAGCUUCUGUGAGGAUCA
Molecule: long non-coding RNA, 774 nt
Filed under: Anser brachyrhynchus (Pink-footed goose)
Lineage: Eukaryota; Metazoa; Chordata; Aves; Anseriformes; Anatidae
Description: lncRNA (ENSABRG00000019108.1)
Source: RNAcentral